This 497-nucleotide ribosomal RNA is filed under the name uncultured bacterium. Its description in RNAcentral is "partial 16S ribosomal RNA". It matches the Rfam family "Bacterial small subunit ribosomal RNA", at positions 28 to 507 of the family's 1533-position model. The record is from RNAcentral.
GACGAACGCUGGCGGCGUGCCUAAUACAUGCAAGUAGAACGCUGAAGAGAGGAGCUUGCUCUUCUUGGAUGAGUUGCGAACGGGUGAGUAACGCGUAGGUAACCUGCCUUGUAGCGGGGGGUAACUAUUGGAAACGAUAGCUAAUACCGCAUAACAAUGGAUGACACAUGUCAUUUAUUUGAAAGGGGCAAUUGUUCCACUACAAGAUGGACCUGCGUUGUAUUAGCUAGUAGGUGAGGUAAUGGCUCACCUAGGCGACGAUACAUAGCCGACCUGAGAGGGUGAUCGGCCACACUGGGACUGAGACACGGCCCAGACUCCUACGGGAGGCAGCAGUAGGGAAUCUUCGGCAAUGGGGGCAACCCUGACCGAGCAACGCCGCGUGAGUGAAGAAGGUUUUCGGAUCGUAAAGCUCUGUUGUAAGUCAAGAACGGGUGUGAGAGUGGAAAGUUCACACUGUGACGGUAGCUUACCAGAAAGAGACGGCUAACUACGUG